RNAcentral lists this ribosomal RNA (253 nucleotides) under uncultured bacterium. RNAcentral's name for it is "partial 16S ribosomal RNA". It matches the Rfam family "Bacterial small subunit ribosomal RNA", at positions 524 to 776 of the family's 1533-position model. The record is from RNAcentral.
UACGUAGGGAGCAAGCGUUGUCCGGAAUCAUUGGGCGUAAAGCGUGCGUAGGCGGCCCCAUAAGUCUGCUGUGAAAGUCAAAGGCUCAACCUUUGAAAGCCGGUGGAUACUGUGGGACUAGAGUACGGAAGAGGCGAGUGGAAUUCCUGGUGUAGCGGUGGAAUGCGCAGAUAUCAGGAGGAGCACCAAUAGCGAAGGCAGCUCGCUGGGACGUUACUGACACUGAGGCACGAAAGCGUGGGGAGCGAACAGG